UACGUAGGGUGCAAGCGUUGUCCGGAAUUAUUGGGCGUAAAGAGCUCGUAGGCGGUCUGUUGCGUCGGCUGUGAAAACCCGGGGCUCAACCCCGGGCCUGCAGCCGAUACGGGCAGACUAGAGUUCGGCAGGGGAGACUGGAAUUCCUGGUGUAGCGGUGAAAUGCGCAGAUAUCAGGAGGAACACCGAUGGCGAAGGCAGUGGUCUGGGCCGAUACUGACGCUGAGGAGCGAAAGCGUGGGGAGCGAACAGG
RNAcentral lists this ribosomal RNA (253 nucleotides) under uncultured bacterium. RNAcentral's name for it is "partial 16S ribosomal RNA". It matches the Rfam family "Bacterial small subunit ribosomal RNA", at positions 524 to 776 of the family's 1533-position model. The record is from RNAcentral.